GAUGAACGCUGACAGAAUGCUUAACACAUGCAAGUCGAUGGGGAAGUGGUGCUUACACCAUGGUAACCAUGGCGGACGGGUGAGUAACGCGUAAGGAACUUGCCUGCGGGACUGGGAUAACAGCAGGAAACUGCUGAUAAUACCGGAUAAGGUCAUUAAGCUGCAUAGCUUAGUGAUGAAAGGAGACGCCUGCGGAGAGCCUUGCGUCCUAUUAGCUAGUUGGAGGGGUAACGGCCCACCAAGGCGAAGAUAGGUAGCCGGCCUGAGAGGGUGGACGGCCACAAGGGGACUGAGAUACGGCCCUUACUCCUACGGGAGGCAGCAGUGGGGAAUAUUGGACAAUGGGGGCAACCCUGAUCCAGCAAUUCUGUGUGCACGAAGACGGUUUUCGGAUUGUAAAGUGCUUUCAGCAGGGAAGAAGGAAGUGACGGUACCUGCAGAAGAAGCGACGGCUAAAUACGUG
Molecule: ribosomal RNA, 463 nt
Filed under: uncultured bacterium
Lineage: Bacteria
Description: partial 16S ribosomal RNA
Rfam family: Bacterial small subunit ribosomal RNA
Source: RNAcentral